GACGAACGCUGGCGGCGUGCUUAACACAUGCAAGUCGAGCGGAGCGGCGAACGGGUGAGUAACGCGUGAGUAACUGCCCCCCUCCCUGGGAUAACAGUUGGAAACGGCUGCUAAUACCGGAUAGCGGGGGAUGACUCGCGCCCUAUCAGCUUGUUGGUGGGGUAGUGGCCGACCAAGGCGACGGAGGGUAGCCGGCCUGGGAGGGCGACCGGCCACAUUGGGCUGAGAUACGGCGCAAGCGCCUACGGGGGGCAGUGGUGGGGAAUAUUGCGCAGUGGGGCAAACCCUGAUGCAGCAACCCGCGUGCGGGAUGACCUCCUUCGGGUUGUAAACGGCUUUCAGCCAUUACGCGGUAGUGGCAGAAGAAGCACCGGCUAACUACGUGCCAGCAGCCGCGGUAAUUC
Molecule: ribosomal RNA, 404 nt
Filed under: uncultured bacterium
Lineage: Bacteria
Description: partial 16S ribosomal RNA
Rfam family: Bacterial small subunit ribosomal RNA
Source: RNAcentral